Molecule: ribosomal RNA, 844 nt
Filed under: uncultured bacterium
Lineage: Bacteria
Description: bacterial SSU rRNA
Rfam family: Bacterial small subunit ribosomal RNA
Source: RNAcentral
UGAGGUUGAUCAGGGCUCACGACGAACGCUGGCGGCGUGCCUAAUACAUGCGAGUCGAGCGAGCGGAACUAACAGAUUUACUUCGGUUAUGACAUUCGGAAAGCGAGCGGGGGAUGGGUGAGUAACACGUGGGGAACCUGCCCCAUAGUCUGGGAUACCACUUGGAAACAGGUGCUAAUACCGGAUAAGAAAGCAGAUCGACUGAUCAGCUUUUAAAAGGCGGCGUAAGCUGUCGCUAUGGGAUGGCCCCGCUCUGCAUUAGCUAGUUGGUAAGGUAAAGGCUUACCAAGGCGAUGAUGCAUAGCCGAGUUGAGAGACUGAUCGGCCACAUUGGGACUGAGACACGGCCCAAACUCCUACGGGAGGCAGCCCAAGGGAAUCUUCCACAAUGGACGCAAGUCUGAUGGAGCAACGCCGCGUGAGUGAAGAAGGUUUUCGGAUCGUAAAGAUCUGUUGUUGGUGAAGAAGGAUAGAGGUAGUAACUGGCCUUUAUUUGACGGUAAUCAACCAGAAAGUCACGGCUAACUACGUGCCGGCAGCCGCGGUAAUACGAAGGUGGCAAGCGUUGUCCGGAUUUGUUGGGCGUAAAGCGAGCGCAGGCGGAAGAAUAAGUCUGAUGUGAAAGCCCUCGGCUUAACCGAGGAACUGCAUCCUAAACUGUUUUUCUUGAGAGCCCAACAGGAGAGUGGAACUCCAUGUGUAGCGGUGGAAUGCCUAGAUAUAUGGAAGAACACCACUGCCGAAGGCGGCUCUCUGGUCUGCCACUGACGCUGAGGCUCGAAAGCAUGGGUAGUGAACAGGAUUAGAUACCCUGGUAGUCCAUGCCGUACACGAUGAGUGCUAA